Non-coding RNA from Myodes glareolus (Bank vole), 1473 nucleotides. The record is from RefSeq and is a predicted model, not a curated record. NCBI's taxonomy places the organism in Eukaryota, Metazoa, Chordata, Mammalia, Rodentia, Cricetidae.
GCAACUUGUUGCUGCUGAAGACGAUUUCUCGUCACGCAAAGGCUGUGGCUGGGAAAGUGAAAAGCAACUCACAAGGGACUAGAAACCGCAGUCGCUGUCCCUAAGCAAGAGUGACACCUUGGUGAUUCUUUCGUAUAUUUCAAGACAGCCCAUGUUUCCUCUGGUCUCAUUCUCUGACUCGGGUGGAAGUGGAACCAAAUGCGAGUGUGAUCUCAAGAAGAAAGCACAGAGAGAGACUAUCGCGGUUCUGUGGCAGUGUAUCCAAACAGGCCACAGCAAAGACAAGGUUGUGCCUGGAGGAGUCUUGCUGUAUCCGGUUAGAAAGAGUGUAAAUCUGUCCUGAAAUUUGAGUACCACAAGAGGCAUCAGAGCUCACUGGGUCAAGUUAAAAUAUGACUUUCUCCAUGUUUGAGUUGUCCCAGGUUGUUCUGAGUGCUCAGCUGUUGCCCUGUGAAGCUUCCAACUUAAAGGAACCCUUGCUAUCCGCUGUAGUCCAGUCCUUCUGAACAGAAUUCCUCAAGCCUCCUGGGAGUCCCCGGAGCAGGGAGAGGAAACAGAAGGGAGAUGUUCAGCAAAGAUGAAAUGUACACUGUUCCUUAAGAUCUCAAGUGACUUCUGCACUUCUGCUUCACAUCUUUGUCCCUUACUCUUCAAACAGAAUGGCUGCCUCCUUCCCAGAAAGUCCAAAUGCUAUGGAUUUUAAAACACCUCAUCUGCCAGCUCUGGCUGGGGCGGACUCCUCAACUGAGUUCUCUUGCCGCAAUCUCUUGUUCUCCUUCAGAGUACUUGUCAGAAGUUGAAAUUGUAUCUCCCUUCCCCUACAUUUCUGCUAUGCCUUUCUUCCCUGUUCCUCUUCCCUUCCCUCCCUCCCUCCGUUCCUCCCUUUCUUUGCACCAGACUAGAAUGUCUGUAUAUUUGCUAUUUAUCCCUUAAGCCCAUCAGACAGCUGCUACACAGUGGGGCCUCAAAAACAUUUGCUGCUUUUUUUCAUAUUAAUACAUUGUUUGACCUCAAGAAAAGUGUGUUCAAAAAAGAAAGAAAGGAAGGAAGGAAGGAAGGAAGGAAGCAAGAAAAGUGUGUUCAACAGGGUCAUCUGUAUUAAUAAACUAAUAGAGUCAAUGCUAUAAUACUUCAGGUUGUAUAUUAUAAAGAGAGCCAUGUUUCCUUUAAGAGAAUUCACAUACCGUGUGAUCCACCCAUUUACACUAUGCAAGUGUAAAUACCCAACCCGCAGAAUCAUACAAGCAGCGCCAUAAUCAACUUAAGAAGGUUUUCAUACUACAGAGAGAAACUUCUGACGUUAGCAUCAAUCUUCAUACCCAUCCUCUGGCCCAUGGUAUCUCUUCCGAUUUGCCUGUUCUGAAUGUUUUGUAUAAAUGGAAUCACCCUGUGCAGGAUGUGUCUGGAUUUUUCUUUCUAGAUAAUAGUUUGUUUACCAUAGUGAGCUGUUUUUUCAGCCUAUGGAUACUUGGA